GUCCACACAUCAGUGUUGUAAACACUUCUCCAAUUAAUUAUAUAAUUAUGUUUUCACACUGAGGGAAGUGGAGAGACUUGAUGUGGACUGUUAUCAACAGCUCUGUGGGAGAUCAUCACCUUGAAUAUUACAGAUGAGGUAGAAAGACAUUUUAUCUAUGUGUACAAUGUUGUAUUUCUUUGUCACGUUUUAUCAAAAGCGAUUUAAAGUAUGUGCAUUUAACCAUUAGGAUACAAACCCAGACCCUAGUACAUCGGUUCUAGCUGAAAUAAGUAGUGCUUCAUAAACAACACAAAACAUUCAUAACAGUACGCUUCUGCUCCUCAUUAAUGCAGCUCCUGAUGUCCCCAGCAGCAACAUGGUGGAGAUCUGCAGCUUCAUGCUGGUCAACUGGAAGACAACUGAUUAAGAUUAAAAGAUUAAGAUUAAAAUCCAUUUAUUCAUCCCAAACACAUGCACAGACAUGCAAAGGCACACUCAUGCAGAUGAAGAACUGCAGCACCUGAUGUCCUCAGCAGCAACAUGGUGGAGAUCUGAUUUGAUACACUUUAGAUAAGAACCCAGUGUUUUAUAUUUCUGCUUUGCCAUAAGAGACAGAACAUGGUCAUCACAGCUGUGUCCUUCAGGCUCGUCUGUCCCUAAUAAAAUGAUAGGAAACAUGAAAGUGAUCGUCAUUAUUGUAGAGGAAGAGUUACAUAUGAACAAAGUGUGUAAUCUUAUUUUCUGUGGAUAUUCAACUGUGUAUUUGAAUAUGCUUUUGGAUUAAAACGUGCACUACCA
Platichthys flesus (European flounder) is the source of this 780-nucleotide long non-coding RNA. RefSeq lists it as uncharacterized. The record is from RefSeq and is a predicted model, not a curated record. Lineage: Eukaryota; Metazoa; Chordata; Actinopteri; Pleuronectiformes; Pleuronectidae. The transcript has 2 exons.